RNAcentral lists this unclassified non-coding RNA (913 nucleotides) under Hevea brasiliensis (rubber tree). The record is from RNAcentral. Lineage: Eukaryota; Viridiplantae; Streptophyta; Magnoliopsida; Malpighiales; Euphorbiaceae.
CGCAUCGUAAAGGCCCUUUCCAAGCCUCUUCCAUCUUGUAUCUUCUCCAUUAUCUCACCUUUUACGCUCCGAGUUUGAUCUCGAGCCUGCCAGGCAAACCCAGAAUACUAUUCCAGUCAAGGAUCCAAAUGGCAUCUGCAUUCUCGGUGCAAACGUUGCAUAACCAUCGUAUUGUGGUUAAGGGUAGGCUUGGUUUAGAUGUUACAAAUAUGAGUAGGCCAUGUAAGAUAUCUGCAGCGACUUUGAGUUGGGCUGGAAGAGCAUUGACGUCAAGAUCUCACUAUGCAUUGAGUUUCCCCAUCACACAGCUUUCUAAAGCACCUGCUGUUAAGCACUGGAGAAUGGCGUGUGUCAACUCAAUGGCAAACGUGACUUCUUUAUCCUAUCUCACUACUUGGCAUUUUGUUUUAUUAUGAUAUCAGAUUUCUGCCACAUGAAGUUGAAGAUAGAAUUUUGACAUCUGGACAUCUUAAGAUCUGAAUUCAUUUCUUUGCUGUAUAUGCUAGGUUGAAUGAUGCUGUAGAUUAUAGAGUUGUAACUGCUGUAGAUAACAGAGAUUGUGGUCUAUGUAUUUCCUAGCUUCUCAUAGGUGAUUUUCAUUGACUUUUGUGCUUGGUCUCAAAUCAAUGAAACUAGUUAUGGAAUUAACCCAGAAUAGGAAGGGAGCUGAUAGUCUUUCCAAUUGAAUUUGCUCAAUCUGGAGUAAAUCAACUAUAGGAAUAGGAACUUAUAUUUCACUUUCUAGCCCAAGAUUGUAGUUUCUGGCUUAAAAAUAUUCGGAUGGAUCUGUUAUUAGGGGUGUUCGGUUCCAGUUCAGUUUAGGAUUUGCCUAGGAAUCGGAACCGAACCGGAAUUUUGAAAUUUCGGAACGGUUCCGGUUCGAUUUUUCAUUGUUUCGGUUUCAGUUCGGUAC